ACGCUGGCGGCGUGCUUAACACAUGCAAGUCGAACGAGAAAUCUUUAGCUUGCUAGAGAAAGUAAAGUGGCGCACGGGUGAGUAACGCGUGGGUAAUCUGCCUCCGAAUCGGGGAUAACAUUGCGAAAGCGAUGCUAAUACCGGAUAAAAUCUGGUUGGCUUCGGUGAACCGGAUCAAAGGUGGUCUCUUUAUAAAAGCUACCGUUUGGAGAUGAGCUCGCGUACCAUUAGCUAGUUGGUGAGGUAAAGGCUCACCAAGGCGACGAUGGUUAGCUGGUCUGAGAGGAUGAUCAGCCACACCGGAACUGGAACACGGUCCGGACUCCUACGGGAGGCAGCAGUGAGGAAUUUUGCGCAAUGGGGGAAACCCUGACGCAGCAACGCCGCGUGAGUGAUGAAGGCUUUCGGGUCGUAAAGCUCUGUCAGGUGGGAAGAACCCACCAAGUGUUAAGACCACUUGGUGCUGACGGUACCACCGAAGGAAGCACCGGCUAACUCCGUGCCAGCAGCCGCGGUAAUACGGGGGGUGCGAGCGUUAUUCGGAAUCAUUGGGCGUAAAGGGCGCGCAGGCGGUUUUGUAAGUCAGAUGUGAAAUCCCGGGGCUUAACCCCGGAAGUGCAUAUGAAACUAUGAGACUUGAGCAUGGGAGAGGGAAGCGGAAUUCCUGGUGUAGCGGUGAAAUGCGUAGAUAUCAGGAGGAACACCGGUGGCGAAGGCGGCUUCCUGGACCAAUACUGACGCUGAGGCGCGAAGGCGUGGGGAGCGAACAGGAUUAGAUACCCUGGUAGUCCACGCAGUAAACGUUGAUCACUAGGUGUAGCGGGUAUUGACCCCUGCUGUGCCGGAGUUAACGCAUUAAGUGAUCCGCCUGGGGAGGUACGAUCGCAAGAUUAAAACUCCAAAGGAAUUGACGGGGGCCCGCACAAACGGUGGAGCAUGUGGUUCAAUCGACGCAACGCGAAGAACCUUACCUGGACUUGACAUCUCGGGAUUCCGUUGAAAGACGGGAGUGC
Molecule: ribosomal RNA, 1013 nt
Filed under: uncultured organism
Description: bacterial SSU rRNA
Rfam family: Bacterial small subunit ribosomal RNA
Source: RNAcentral